CUUUUGUUGGACGGAGAAAGUAGGUGUUCUUUUUUCGAAACAAAUUACUACGGCACAACUUUUUUCUUGCCGCACAACUUUUUUUCUCAAGGGAAAAUCAACUCCUGCUGCUACUGUCUUUUUUUUUAGAACCUCCUGCUGCUAUUUCUUUUUUGAGGGGUACCUCCUGCAGUCCUGCUGCUCUGCUAUUGUCGUGAGACCUGAAUGACCUCAACGCUCGUCAGCCCAAUGAAUUCCAGCCCAGUUGUGCGCUACAGGCCCUUUCCAAUGAUAGUUGGGCCCACGGUAAGCUGCGCUUGCGCCAGCAACUGCCGCGGGGGUGCCGUCAGCCGGGGCACCCUACCUGUGAUUGCGAGGGCGGCGGCGGCGUGCAUCGACCCUUCCCGGCUUCCGGACCCCGCGCGAUGACCUAACCGCGCCUACCUGGAGCAAAGGGGAGGCCAGGUUCAGAGCAGAGAAGACUGAUCUCAGAAACAAAUUGGAGUCUGGAUUCUGGAGGGAGGUGUUGGUUCCUAUCUUAACCAGUGAAAUGUAGUAGGUUAUUUAGUUUCUAGCUAUGUACUUCAGCACAUGUCUCGAUAAAGGAGUAUUUGUUUCUAA
Brachypodium distachyon (stiff brome) is the source of this 600-nucleotide long non-coding RNA. RefSeq lists it as uncharacterized. Lineage: Eukaryota; Viridiplantae; Streptophyta; Magnoliopsida; Poales; Poaceae. The record is from RefSeq and is a predicted model, not a curated record. The transcript has 2 exons.